This 215-nucleotide non-coding RNA is filed under the name unclassified sequences. Its description in RNAcentral is "RT-16 RNA". It matches the Rfam family "RT-16 RNA". Rfam says of the family: candidate division DUSEL4 (Archaea). Nearby to self-splicing intron genes The record is from Rfam by way of RNAcentral.
GCACCAGUUAUGUAAGUUUAAGGACUUGUAUAGAGUGUGCUUGAACUACAUGCUUGACCAUAGAAGAAAAUGCAGAUUAAUGCUGCAUUUUAUGACAUAAAAUACAGCAGCGAUAGUUAGUAGUUAUGAUAGCCUUCGGGAAGCCAGAGCAAAUACUAAAGCUGCAGUGCGCAGGUCAAGUUAUCUUGGUCUGUUUGGUGGUCAGGCUACCAGUG